Pantherophis guttatus is the source of this 561-nucleotide long non-coding RNA. RefSeq lists it as uncharacterized. Lineage: Eukaryota; Metazoa; Chordata; Lepidosauria; Squamata; Colubridae. The record is from RefSeq and is a predicted model, not a curated record.
CCCGAUUCUUUAAAGAAAGCCGCUUUGUUUGAUUCCUGUAAAGCGCCGUAGAGAUGCAGCGAGCACUAUGAAUAAGGAGCUAGUGCUUAAGGAUGUGAACAUUUUUAUUAAGAGAGUCACAAAAUCAAAUCCCACAUAUCAUAUUACCAGGCACUGCAGCAGAAAAAAAUCCCUACAUCUUGUAAAGAGAGGAAAACUGCCUAUGAUUGUAAAUGAAGAGAGCUUCACUUCCAAAUUCUUCAAACUGGGAUCGUAACAAGGAAGAGAAGAUUACUCACAUUUUCCCUGGGACAAUACUGACGGGCAUAUAACUCUUGCCCGUAAAGGCAUAUAAGGACACCUUGGCCAAGGAAGAGGGACGUCCACAUGAUGAUGUUAAAAAUGGGGUUUUUCCGCCGGUCAUGGAGAAUGAAGUUGAAAACCACUGAAGGAAGGAAAUAACCAUUUAGACUGUAAACUCUACGCCCCCCCCUCUAGACCCAAAUGCAUCAGAACAUUGUUGCAAUGAUAAAACAUGUUUAAUAAAUUACAAGGCUAGUCUCUCAAAUUGAAAAUUAACAA